RNAcentral lists this long non-coding RNA (1388 nucleotides) under Oryza sativa Indica Group (long-grained rice). RNAcentral's name for it is "photoperiod-sensitive male sterility". The record is from RNAcentral. Lineage: Eukaryota; Viridiplantae; Streptophyta; Magnoliopsida; Poales; Poaceae.
GAAACCACGCAAGCUUGGCUCUUUGUUCCAUACUCAUCUGAAAUUUCUUGUGAACUGGAGCAUGAUAUAUAGGCUUAGGAUGCAUCAGGAAAGAAGCUUCUACUAGUGUACAUGCCCAACAAGCUCUUAUUUGUUAAGGCGCUAGAAGAUUAGAACUUACUCGGUCUAGUUUCAAAUUAACAGAUUGGAUGAUCUAAGGAUAGUGUAGAAGCUUUUUGUUCAAAAUCACAAUAAAGAUAUAUGAUCAAAACCUUAAUAAUUUGUCUUUGUUAUUACAAAUACUGGAACACAGUCAUCAGUUAUAGCCAACACUCAUCACUGUCGGUUCGGCGGAUAGUUAUUGAGUAUAGUAACUAUCGGUCUAUGCCAGGUUAAUUCGGGCAGUCCGGCAAUUUUGCCUGGUAUCACCAAUUGUCCAUGCGAACAGAAAAAGUUCAGUACUUGGGCUUCUCUAUAUACUAUAUACUAGUUAGCGUGCACGUGCCCUUGCAACAAUAUCGAAUAGUAAAUACUUUACAUAUAUGGAACAGAAAAAACUUAACCUUUACCAUAACAAUAGAGAGAAACAAAUCGAUUAUUUUUUUUCUAAAAAACAAACAAUCAAAUAAUAUAUCACCGAUAAUUGUUUACGGCCCAUUGCCAUCUCCGCCUAAUGAACGCCUUGCAUGUUGGCCCCAAGCCACACUCUUUUUUAGGCAGAGAGAAUUCAGUUGUUUUAUUUAGUAUUUAUAAUUAUCCAAAAUGGUGCUACUGUUUGUUAAUGGUGGUGCAAACAAUUGCUUUGCUGGUCCAGUUUAAAAUCGGAUGAUUAACGGAAGCAUUAGCUAGUGGUGACAGGGAUAAAUCUCCGAGAAAAAUGGCAUAAAGCAACAAUACUCGAAGAGGCUCGCAUUGAUGCUAUGUAAGAGAAAAUUUGAUUAUGAAAUACAAGUUACAAAUUAUCAUAGUCAUGUAACUGUUUGCUAGUGUUUAUGCAAAUGGUCAUUUCUUUCAUUACGGUUUGAUUAGAUAAUUACUAACAGCAUCAUUAGGUUGCUAAAUUGGAUGGUUGCUAACAACAUCAUUAGGUUGCUGUGAUAAUAUGAUCGUUCUGCAAGAAAAGGUUGCAGUUAUAGUGAUGAAGUUGUGAGCCAAAAGGAAGAAUACAGGCACAGUGACAUCUGUCACGCUGAUGGUACUGAAGUACGCAAAUCUGUUUACAAAUUGUAGCAAAUUUUUGUCAUUUUUCAGUUGAGGUAGAUGUGAGAGGCGACGUCUUGAAUGAAUGAGCUAGUUGAAGCUCUAAAGCAGCCUGGUUUGAGCACCUGCAAACAAAACCACACCUCCAGCUAUCAAUCAAUCAGCUUCUGGACUUGCCAAAAUUACUAUAUGAAAAUCUUGAAAUGGUC